UACGGAGGGUGCAAGCGUUAUCCGGAUUCACUGGGUUUAAAGGGUGCGUAGGCGGGCAGGUAAGUCCGUGGUGAAAUCUCUGAGCUUAACUCAGAAACUGCCAUGGAUACUAUUUGUCUUGAAUGUUGUGGAGGUAAGCGGAAUAUGUCAUGUAGCGGUGAAAUGCUUAGAUAUGACAUAGAACACCCAUUGCGAAGGCAGCUUACUACACAAAUAUUGACGCUGAGGCACGAAAGCGUGGGGAGCAAACGGG
Molecule: ribosomal RNA, 253 nt
Filed under: uncultured bacterium
Lineage: Bacteria
Description: partial 16S ribosomal RNA
Rfam family: Bacterial small subunit ribosomal RNA
Source: RNAcentral